RNAcentral lists this long non-coding RNA (308 nucleotides) under Physcomitrium patens. RNAcentral describes it as "long non-coding RNA (PPAT_LNC013220)". The record is from RNAcentral. Lineage: Eukaryota; Viridiplantae; Streptophyta; Bryopsida; Funariales; Funariaceae.
CUCCCAUUAACAAUACUCCUUCAUCAACUGAUAACCACAAUGUACAACCUUGCACUCUCAAAAGACCACUCAAAACUCAAUAAAUUCCAUCCAAUUCCAAGAAUAACAGACUUCACUCCAAUCAAUCUGAAUUCACAGAAUUCUUGUAAUCACAGACUUCCUUUGUUGAAAUACACACACACAACUCUCAAUAAACAACAAUCAUAAUCUUCCAUCCAUAAUCAAGCUUCCAAUAACUUCUCAUAUAAUUCAAUCAAUCACUACUCCAAUUACAUCAUUAAUAACUCAUAAAUCAAUCUCUGAUUUAU